AUUUUAUGGGUAGAGUUGGAAAUCAACAAACACAGUUUGGUUCUUCAAAAUCAUGAAGAGAUUACAGCAGCCAGUUUCCAGUGCAGCGAAAAAACAAACACUGCAAUGGGCUGCUUGGACACGUCAAAAGGAGGAAAGCUUCUUCACUGCAUUGCGGCAAGUUGGCAAGGCAUUUUUUGCUGACAUGGUUUUUGGUUUUUGGAAUUAUUUCUUACGAUAUAUCCUGACAUGACUAUAUGAUGUCUUUUAACAGAAUUUCGACUUUGUCUUGAUG
This is a non-coding RNA of Camellia sinensis, 274 nucleotides long. The record is from RefSeq and is a predicted model, not a curated record. Lineage: Eukaryota; Viridiplantae; Streptophyta; Magnoliopsida; Ericales; Theaceae.